This 65-nucleotide transfer RNA is filed under the name Toxodera sp. RNAcentral describes it as "tRNA-Cys". The record is from RNAcentral. Lineage: Eukaryota; Metazoa; Arthropoda; Insecta; Mantodea; Toxoderidae.
GGUCUUGUAUUCAUUUAAUGAUAUUAGAAUGCAAUUCUAAUGGUGUAUAAAAGUUACUAAGGCUU